AGUCCCGCAACGAGCGCAACCCUCGUUUUUAGUUGCCAGCAUUAAGUUGGGCACUCUAGAGAGACUGCCGGUGACAAACCGGAGGAAGGUGGGGAUGACGUCAAGUCAGCAUGCCCCUUACGUCUUGGGCUACACACGUACUACAAUGCUACGGACAGAGGGCAGCAAGCUAGCGAUAGCAAGCAAAUCCCGUAAACCGUAGCUCAGUUCAGAUCGCAGGCUGCAACUCGCCUGCGUGAAGGAGGAAUCGCUAGUAAUUGCAGGUCAGCAUACUGCAGUGAAUUCGUUCCCGGGCCUUGUACACACCGCCCGUCACACCAUGGAAGCUGGCAACGCCCGAAGUCAUUACUCCAACUUUUAGGAGAGGAGGAUGCCUAAGGCAGUGCUGACUCUUG
Molecule: ribosomal RNA, 395 nt
Filed under: Trichormus doliolum GSPKAK2
Lineage: Bacteria; Bacillati; Cyanobacteriota; Cyanophyceae; Nostocales; Nostocaceae
Description: bacterial SSU rRNA
Rfam family: Bacterial small subunit ribosomal RNA
Source: RNAcentral